This 1680-nucleotide long non-coding RNA is filed under the name Calidris pugnax (ruff). RNAcentral describes it as "lncRNA (ENSCPUG00000001211.1)". Lineage: Eukaryota; Metazoa; Chordata; Aves; Charadriiformes; Scolopacidae. The record is from RNAcentral.
UUUGGCAAAAAAACAGCAGUCCAGUUUUCAUUGUGUUGCACUAAAUCCCUAAAUCACACCAACACUGUUGCUACAUAGUCUCUUCAACUAGUUACAGGGAUUGGUUCCACCUGUAAGGACAAGAUGCAAAUAGGUUAGCAUGUACUUGGGCUCAGUUGUCUUUAAAUAUGAUGUUUACAGACCAUAAAGUCUGUAAUUAUGGGAUUGCAGAGAGCAAGAUGCAAUUUGCAGUAGCUUUGGUCUUUAUUAUGUAAAUGUGGCCCCAAUCUCUGUUACUUACCUAAUGUACGAUGCCCUAUUAUGAGCUAUGCUCUGAGAACUGAGGGUGUUACUCACCAUAACUUUCCAGAUUUAUUUUUCCACACAAGGAAAUACAAGGAAUAUCACCUCUGCCUUGUAUGGCCAUUCACAGGGGAGGCAACACACGCUCCUGUGUGCUAAGGAACAUCUCAGGCCAGCGGCAGCUGGAGCUGCAGAGAGAUCAGCAAGCAGGAAUAAUGACAGCAGACUCAAGAAGGAGGAAUGCAAUUCCUUCAAACUAUUUACACGUGUGCAGAGGGGGAAGUAGAAAUUGUCGUUUCAAGAGAGAAGUGCCAAACGAACGUUGCCCUGAGCUGAUCUUCAUCUGGACUUGCAUUUGCACUGGGAGGACUGUUCAUCCAACAGCCAAAAGUGGGUGAUAAGUCAGUGAACUGCACAGACCUCAGUGUUUCUUUUUAUCUGCUGUUCAAUUCCGACAGAGGUUACCUCUGAAAUAUUCACACCCAAUAGGAACAGACAGCUCAGCAUAUUAGUCAUAAGGAUGUUAAGGUAAUUUACCUUCUGCUGCAAAUCUGUGUCGAGCGCAGGUUGGCAGGAAUCUAAAAGCUGCUUUGACCUCUUGGCUGGUGUGUGUCCUGCACUGGCCUCUUCGCCACAAACCCUCCGACGUUACUGCAAUCUUUUUGCUGAGGCAUGCAAGAAGUCUGUUUUUUUCUCAGCAGAAAGGCUUUUUUUGAUCAGACAUUCAUAAAUAACUUCUCUUUGUUCACUCCCCACAGUUUUUCUCACAGUCACUGUUUUGCUGUUUGAAAAAAAAAAAAAACCACAAACCAAAAAACAAACCAUAGAAGGAGGAAAAACUGAAUUACCUUUCAGGAUUGUACAAACUCACACUCCUCUAAUACUGAAGAGGAAUCUGAACCUAGCACGCCUCACCUAAUCAUUAAUUCCCUGCGUUCUGAACUGUAUUUCUAAGCACCUGCCAGGGCACACCUGUGCCACCACCUUGCACUGCAGCAGUGCCCUUUGGAAACAUCUGUGGAGCAAUGAAAAGGUUAGGAAAAGGUAAAUGAUGGCCUUGCUGUUAUGGUUCAAACACGUUCAGCAGCAUUUGCAGCUUUGAACUGUCGAUUUGUGUUUUAAGCUUUCCAUAACAAAGUUUUCUACCGUUUGUGGUGCUGCUACGAAGCGCUAAAGGAAAUGCACAACAGUUUCAACAGGGCACGGCCCAGGACCAGCAUCUCCAGCUGACUAAUGUGAAGAUGCUGAGUGAAAGCCCUCCCUUACACCUUCCGAUGUAGUAGGUCUGCACACACAAAUUCUUGUUACUGUGGUCUUAACCACGCAGAAGGUAGGAGGACUCUUCAAGAACCUGCUUUGCGGUGCUGGACCUGGGAGCAAGUUCAGUAGCUUCCAAAU